This 2158-nucleotide ribosomal RNA is filed under the name Munneurycope sp. MR-2008. RNAcentral describes it as "SSU rRNA". It matches the Rfam family "Eukaryotic small subunit ribosomal RNA". Lineage: Eukaryota; Metazoa; Arthropoda; Malacostraca; Isopoda; Munnopsidae. The record is from RNAcentral.
GUUGAUCCUGCCAGUAGUGAUAUGCUUGUCUCAAAGAUUAAGCCAUGCAUGUCUGAGUACAGACCGAUCUAAGGUGAAACCGCGAAUGGCUCAUUAAAUCAGUCAUAAUUCCUUGGAUAGUGAAAAACUUCCUCGGAUAACUGUGGAAAAUCCAGAGCUAAUACGUGCAACUGAGCUCCGACCUCGGCGAAAGCCUUGGGAAGAGCGCAUUUAUUAGAUUCAAAACUGACCGAUGUACUCCUUCGGGAUGCGUCGUUUGUCUAAAGUUUGAUGACUCCGGAUAACUUAGCCGAGCGCUACGGUCUUAGUACCGGCGCCGUAUCUUUCAAGUGUCUGCCUUAUCAGCUUUCGAUUGUAGGUUAAACGCCUACAAUGGCUGUAACGGGUAACGGGGAAUCAGGGUUCGAUUCCGGAGAGGGAGCCUGAGAAACGGCUACCACAUCUAAGGAAGGCAGCAGGCACGCAAAUUACCCACUCCCAGCUCGGGGAGGUAGUGACGAAAAAUAACGAUGCGAGACUCUUCCGAGGCCUCGCAAUCGGAAUGAGUUCAUUUUAAAUCUUUGGACGAGGAUCCAUUGGAGGGCAAGUCUGGUGCCAGCAGCCGCGGUAAUUCCAGCUCCAAUAGCGUAUAUUAAAGUUGCUGCGGUUAAAAAGCUCGUAGUUGGACUUCCUAGAUCCAUUUCGCGAGCGAGUCGCUCGUCGAUUUAUCGUUUCGUGCCAGUUGCUCGACUAAAGGUCGCGAUACCGUAUCUUUGGUGCGUUUCUCUCUUUCGGGAGGGGUUCAAUCCUUGGUCGGUCGCGUAUCCCCGAAUCUUGCGUACGGCGAGGCUUUGUCUUCGAGUAUUGCUCGUUCGCGUUUGGUACAAUUAAAAUUUUGUCGGCUCGCUCGGAGUGCUCUUUACCGAGUGUUCCAGGGUGGCCGACACGUUCACUUUGAAAAAAUUAGAGUGCUUAAAGCGGGCUUAUACGUGGCCUGAAUGUCUGUGCAUGGAAUGAAGUAACAGGACCUCGAUUCUGUUUUUUUUGUCGGUUUUAUUGAACCGAGGUAAUGAUUAAAAGGGACAGACGGUGGCAUUAGUAUUGCGGCGCUAGAGGUGAAAUUCUUGGACCGCUGCAAGACUAACUACUGCGAAAGCAUUUGCCGAGAAUGUUUCAUUAAUCAAGAACGAAAGUUAGAGGAUCGAAGGCGAUCAGAUACCGCCCUAGUUCUAACCCUAAACUAUGCUAACUAGCGAUCCGCCGGAGUCAAUCCCACGACCCGGCGGGAAGCCCAGGGAAACCAAAGUCUUUGAGUUCCGGGGGAAGUAUGGUUGCAAAGCUGAAACUUAAAGGAAUUGACGGAAGGGCACCACCAGGAGUGGAGCCUGCGGCUUAAUUUGACUCAACACGGGAAACCUCACCAGGCCCGGACAUCAUAAUGAUUGACAGGUUGAGAGCUCUUUCUCGAUUUGAUGGGUGGUGGUGCAUGGCCGUUCUUAGUUGGUGGAGUGAUCUGUCUGGUUGAUUCCGAUAACGAACGAGACUCUACCCUACUAACUAGUCGGCGGAUCGUAACCCUGAGAUGGUAAUGUUUGUAUAGGUUGGUUUGUCCGAGAUGGCGUGCGCGUUGGCGCUGUAUUUCGUUACAGGUUUCGGAAAGAGAGCAUUCUGUGUGACUCGUCGUGACUUGGCGUUUAUAUAGUCGUUGGCGUGUCGUCGUCGGAGCUUCUUUCUGAUUACUGCUUACUGCUGGGGGCGUCCGUCGCAAUAUAUCUUCUUAGAGGGAUCAGCGGCGUAUAGCCGCACGAGAAAGAGCAAUAACAGGUCUGUGAUGCCCUUAGAUGUUCUGGGCCGCACGCGCGCUACAAUGUAGAGACCAGCGUGCUUUCCCUCUCCGAAAGGAGCGGGUAACCCGUUGAAACCCCUACCCGAUUGGGAUUGGGGAUUGCAAAUAUUUCCCAUAAACGAGGAAUUCCCAGUAAGCGCGAAUCAUUAAUUCGCGCUGAUUACGUCCCUGCCCUUUGUACACACCGCCCGUCGCUACUACCGAUUGAAUGAUUCAGUGAGGGCAUCGGACUGGCGCCUUCGGUUUAGUAAAAUAGACCUUAGGCUGACGGAAAGAUGUCCGAACUUGAUCAUUUAGAGGAAGUAAAAGUCGUAACAAGGUUUCCGUAGUGAA